Molecule: long non-coding RNA, 1387 nt
Organism: Cavia porcellus (domestic guinea pig)
Lineage: Eukaryota; Metazoa; Chordata; Mammalia; Rodentia; Caviidae
Exons: 2
Source: RefSeq, a predicted model, not a curated record
CAAAAAUUGCAAAAGUUUGAGAGAUUUAAAAAAAAAAUGCCCUUCAGUCAGUUAUUAGAGGUUGCUUAAAAGAGAUUUGACAACCUAGAGGACCCUAAAGACCAGGCUUAAGUGGUUUCUGCUGGACAGAAAGACUACAUUGGUUGUUGGACUCUCCAUUUAAAAAAAAAAAAAAAGACUCUUUCCUCCCAGCAAAUGCAAGCCAUCCAACAGAUUCCAGUCCCUGUGACUAAAAGGCAAGUGCAAAAAUUUCUAGGAGCCACAGGACUGAUCCAGAGUUUGGGACCAUGGCAAAAGCCUGUUGCCUAUCUUUCCAAGAGACUUGAUAAUGUGGCAGCUGGAUGGCCACCUUGCCUACGAGUAAUUGCCUCAGUGGCUCUCCUUUUAAAGGAAGCCCAAAAGUUGGUUUUUGGACAAAAGCUCUUAAUUGUCUCCUCCCAUUCACUGGAGACACUCAUUAAGGCCCCUCCAGACAGAUGGAUGUCUAACUCCCGAGUCAUGCACUAUCAGGCACUACUUCUGGAUCCGACUACUAUUAGUUUCAAGAAGACAACAGCUUUAAAUCCAGCUGCUUUGCUGCCUGACGAAGACCCCUCAUUGCCUGACCACAAUUGUACUGAGGUCAUCAAUCACCUCCCGGGAUUUCAACCUGAUCUAACAGAUAAGCCACUAUAUGGAGUUUCAUCCUACUUCUCUGAUGGAAGCAGUUACAUUUAUCAAGGCAUAAAGAAGCCGAGGUACAGAAAAGCUAACACAGUCACUGUGGGUAAACUGAUGCCAUGUGGUAGAAUCAAGUUUCAUCCUUGCAUUCUAGCUCCAAAGAUGUAUGUUCAAGACCCUGCUGAGAAGAACUGGAGGCCUCGGGGAUGGGGCAGAUGAGAGGUGUAAACCAGAGCUUGCUGGGACCUCUGAGUUAAGCUUGAGCACCAAGUAAACAGCAGGGCUGUUAACUGGGUAAAUGUCAAAGCUGGGUGAGGGGAGGAAAAGGGUGCCUUCAUCCUUUUUCCACUGCUAUAACAGAAUACCUGACACUGGUUUAUUUAUAACAUAAUGAGGUUUGCUAUGGUGUGAGUAUGGGUUGUCACCUCUAAAAACCCGUACUGCAGUACCACCAACCCUGUAGGUAAAGAAUUAAGAGGAAGGAAUCUUAAUCCAACCGUAGUGUUUGGAGGUUACUGGGAUUAAAUAAAUUCAUCAGGAUGAGGUCCACGAUUGAUUACUGGUGGCUUUGUCAGAAGAGGGAGCAAGGCCAUGACACAAGUCUGUCUCCCUCCGUGUCAUGCCGUGUGCUGUCUUGAGACUCAGCCAGCAAGACAGCAGCCUCGACAUGUGGCCAAUAAUGUUGGGCCAGAAUUGUGAGCCAAAAUAAACCUCUUUUUACAACUUA